GUACACGCUGUGACUAGCAUAUCAAUAAGCGGAGGAAAAGAAACUAACAAGGAUUCCCCUAGUAACGGCGAGUGAAGCGGGAAGAGCUCAAAUUUGAAAUCUUAAAGGGUUUCCCUUUACGAAUUGUAGUUUAAAGAAGUGUUUUCUGUUGAGGUUUUGGUAAAAGUUCUUUGGAAUAGGACAUCAUAGAGGGUGAGAAUCCCGUAUUUGACCUUUACUUUCAACUUUGUGAUACACUUUCAAAGAGUCGGAUUGUUUGGGAAUGCAGUCCAAAAUGGGUGGUAAAUUUCAUCUAAAGCUAAAUAUUGGCGAGAGACCGAUAGCGAACAAGUACCGUGAGGGAAAGAUGAAAAGAACUUUGAAAAGAGAGUUAAACAGUACGUGAAAUUGUCAAAAGGGAAGCGUUUGACACCAGUGUUGUUUUUCUGAAAAUCAAUUAAAGAACUGUUUAUGCUAAGUUGUUUAGACUUUAUCAGCUAACUGUUUAGUUUUGAGCUUUUCUUUAAUGCACUUUUCAGUUAACAAGUCAACAUCCAAUUUCUUUUGCUGUAAAAAAGCUUGAGGAAGGUGGCUUGAGAUUCGUCUUAAGUGUUUAUAGCCUCUUGCCUAUGCAGUCGGAGAGAUUGAGGUCUGCAGCGUAGAUCCUUCGGGGCUAAAUGCAUUUGUGCUAAGUUAUAGCAUUUUAUAGACAACUUGUUGACUAUGAUUUGUCUUGUAGCUUACUCGCUUAUGUUAUUUUACCUACGCUUAGGAUGUUGACAGCAGUAUAGACUGU
RNAcentral lists this ribosomal RNA (775 nucleotides) under uncultured Neocallimastigales. RNAcentral describes it as "partial large subunit ribosomal RNA". It matches the Rfam family "Eukaryotic large subunit ribosomal RNA", at positions 22 to 637 of the family's 3401-position model. Lineage: Eukaryota; Fungi; Neocallimastigomycota; Neocallimastigomycetes; Neocallimastigales. The record is from RNAcentral.